UACGUAGGGGGCAAGCGUUGUCCGGAUUUACUGGGUGUAAAGGGCGCGUAGGCGGGAUAGCAAGUCAGUCGUGAAAUGCCGAGGCUUAACCUCGGAGCUGCGAUUGAAACUGUUAUUCUUGAGUAUCGGAGAGGAAAGCGGAAUUCCUAGUGUAGCGGUGAAAUGCGUAGAUAUUAGGAGGAACACCAGUGGCGAAGGCGGCUUACUGGACUGUAACUGACGUUGAGGCUCGAAAGCGUGGGGAGCAAACAGG
This 253-nucleotide ribosomal RNA is filed under the name uncultured Clostridium sp. RNAcentral describes it as "partial 16S ribosomal RNA". It matches the Rfam family "Bacterial small subunit ribosomal RNA", at positions 524 to 776 of the family's 1533-position model. The record is from RNAcentral. Lineage: Bacteria; Bacillati; Bacillota; Clostridia; Eubacteriales; Clostridiaceae.